UUAAGUCAAAUUUGUAUGGAACGUUUGCCUAUGUUUUCCGCUAAGGGCACUGUCCCAGCUGCAUACAAAUUUCAGGUA
RNAcentral lists this microRNA precursor (78 nucleotides) under Bombyx mori (domestic silkworm). RNAcentral describes it as "mir-2807 microRNA precursor family". It matches the Rfam family "mir-2807 microRNA precursor family". The record is from Rfam by way of RNAcentral. Lineage: Eukaryota; Metazoa; Arthropoda; Insecta; Lepidoptera; Bombycidae.